RNAcentral lists this unclassified non-coding RNA (414 nucleotides) under Microcystis aeruginosa Mgr 4.2. RNAcentral's name for it is "partial contains 16S ribosomal RNA, 16S-23S ribosomal RNA intergenic spacer, and 23S ribosomal RNA". The stretch from base 1 to 79 matches the Rfam family "Bacterial small subunit ribosomal RNA", at positions 1455 to 1533 of the family's 1533-position model. Lineage: Bacteria; Bacillati; Cyanobacteriota; Cyanophyceae; Chroococcales; Microcystaceae. The record is from RNAcentral.
GCCUAAGGCAGGGCUAGUGACUGGGGUGAAGUCGUAACAAGGUAGCCGUACCGGAAGGUGUGGCUGGAUCACCUCCUUAAAGGGAGACCUAAUUCAGGUAGGAGACGAAAAAAAAGUAGUCGCUACCAAGAAUCAAUCCCAAAAGGUCGGAGCGAGGCGAAAUUGGCUUUCAAACUAGGUUCUGGGUUCACACAAGACCUGAAUCAGGAACAAGGGCUAUUAGCUCAGGUGGUUAGAGCGCACCCCUGAUAAGGGUGAGGUCCCUGGUUCGAGUCCAGGAUGGCCCACCUGCACAGGUGGCAAAAACAAAAAAAAGAAGCGAGGAAUCAGCACCUUAUCUUACUGACAUAGUAAGAGAGAAUGCUGGCUCUGAGUAAAGAGUCCAGAGGAACCUUGAAAACUGCAUAGAGCUAG